ACGGGUGAGUAAUGUCUGGGAAACUGCCCGACGGAGGGGGAUAACUACUGGAAACGGUAGCUAAUACCGCAUAACGUCUUCGGACCAAAGUGGGGGACCUUCGGGCCUCACACCAUCGGAUGUGCCCAGAUGGGAUUAGCUAGUAGGUGGGGUAACGGCUCACCUAGGCGACGAUCCCUAGCUGGUCUGAGAGGAUGACCAGCCACACUGGAACUGAGACACGGUCCAGACUCCUACGGGAGGCAGCAGUGGGGAAUAUUGCACAAUGGGCGCAAGCCUGAUGCAGCCAUGCCGCGUGUAUGAAGAAGGCCUUCGGGUUGUAAAGUACUUUCAGUGGGGAGGAAGGCGAUGGAGUUAAUAGCUUCGUCGAUUGACGUUACCCGCAGAAGAAGCACCGGCUAACUCCGUGCCAGCAGCCGCGGUAAUACGGAGGGUGCAAGCGUUAAUCGGAAUUACUGGGCGUAAAGCGCACGCAGGCGGUCUGUCAAGUCGGAUGUGAAAUCCCCGGGCUCAACCUGGGAACUGCAUUCGAAACCGGCAGGCUAGAGUCUUGUAGAGGGGGGUAGAAUUCCAGGUGUAGCGG
RNAcentral lists this ribosomal RNA (583 nucleotides) under uncultured bacterium. RNAcentral describes it as "bacterial SSU rRNA". It matches the Rfam family "Bacterial small subunit ribosomal RNA", at positions 102 to 681 of the family's 1533-position model. The record is from RNAcentral.